GAGAAGCUUGUUGGAUCUCAUUGAUUUUGAUCAAGGAGGGAUGGCAAGGAAGUUUCUUUCACAAAAAAGACAUGGUGGUGUCGAUACUCCUAGAAAUAGCUUGGAGCUUCCUGUUGAAGCGUCUCAAUGGUUCUAUGCUGGAGGGGACAAAGCACAGUGCGCUUAUCAGAUGAUUGAUUGGCAAGAGAAGAACUGUUACGGGUACGAGGCUCCAAUGAAGAAACUGAUCAGUGAAGAAAUAGCCAGAAGACCAAACACAGGAUAUAAUGCACCUAGUGUGGUAGCACGUCUAAUGGGAGUUGAUACGUUACCAUUAGAUACAAGACCAUUACCAAAGCAUGUAGAGAAAAAGAAUGAAAUGAAGGAUGGGAACCCUUCUAAAGAGGAAUGGUUGAGAAAGGUUUCCAUUGAUCAUGCAACCCAGUCCUCCAGACAGAAAAUCUCAAUUCCCUUUAACCAUGAUGAAUCAUGUGACUCUGACCGACAGAUUGAUAGCCGAAAACCAAACAAAUAUAAACCUCGUGAACAUCCUCAGGAGGAGGAACUACAGAAGUUCAA
Molecule: unclassified non-coding RNA, 558 nt
Filed under: Hevea brasiliensis (rubber tree)
Lineage: Eukaryota; Viridiplantae; Streptophyta; Magnoliopsida; Malpighiales; Euphorbiaceae
Source: RNAcentral